This 253-nucleotide ribosomal RNA is filed under the name uncultured bacterium. RNAcentral's name for it is "partial 16S ribosomal RNA". It matches the Rfam family "Bacterial small subunit ribosomal RNA", at positions 524 to 776 of the family's 1533-position model. The record is from RNAcentral.
UACGGAGGGUGCAAGCGUUAUCCGGAUUCACUGGGUUUAAAAGGUGCGUAGGUGGGCAGGUAAGUCAGUGGUGAAAUCUCCGGGCUUAACCCGGAAACUGCCAUUGAUACUAUCUGUCUUGAAUACCGUGGAGGUGAGCGGAAUAUGUCAUGUAGCGGUGAAAUGCUUAGAUAUGACAUAGAACACCAAUUGCGAAGGCAGCUCACUACACGAAUAUUGACACUGAGGCACGAAAGCGUGGGGAUCAAACAGG